GCAUAUCAAUAAGCGGAGGAAAAGAAACCAACAGGGAUUGCCUUAGUAGCGGCGAGUGAAGCGGCAAAAGCUCAAAUUUGAAAUCUGGCGCCUUCGGUGUCCGAGUUGUAAUUUGAAGAUUGUAACCUUGGGGUUGGCUCUUGUCUAUGUUUCUUGGAACAGGACGUCACAGAGGGUGAGAAUCCCGUGCGAUGAGAUGCCCAAUUCUAUGUAAGGUGCUUUCGAAGAGUCGAGUUGUUUGGGAAUGCAGCUCUAAGUGGGUGGUAAAUUCCAUCUAAAGCUAAAUAUUGGCGAGAGACCGAUAGCGAACAAGUACAGUGAUGGAAAGAUGAAAAGAACUUUGAAAAGAGAGUGAAAAAGUACGUGAAAUUGUUGAAAGGGAAGGGUUUGAGAUCAGACUCGAUAUUUUGUGAGCCUUGCCUUCGUGGCGGGGUGACCCGCAGCUUAUCGGGCCAGCAUCGGUUUGGGCGGUAGGAUAAUGGCGUAGGAAUGUGACUUUACUUCGGUGAAGUGUUAUAGCCUGCGUUGAUGCUGCCUGCCUAGACCGAGGACUGCGAUUUUAUCAAGGAUGCUGGCAUAUU
Molecule: ribosomal RNA, 581 nt
Filed under: Meyerozyma guilliermondii
Lineage: Eukaryota; Fungi; Ascomycota; Pichiomycetes; Serinales; Debaryomycetaceae
Description: LSU rRNA
Rfam family: Eukaryotic large subunit ribosomal RNA
Source: RNAcentral